RNAcentral lists this ribosomal RNA (256 nucleotides) under uncultured bacterium. RNAcentral's name for it is "partial 16S ribosomal RNA". It matches the Rfam family "Bacterial small subunit ribosomal RNA", at positions 524 to 776 of the family's 1533-position model. The record is from RNAcentral.
UACGUAGGGCGCAAGCGUUAUCCGGAAUUAUUGGGCGUAAAGAGCUCGUAGGCGGUUUGUCGCGUCUGCCGUGAAAGUCCCGGGGGCUCAACUCCGGAUCUGCGGUGGGUACGGGCAGACUAGAGUGAUGUAGGGGAGACUGGAAUUCCUGGUGUAGCGGUGAAAUGCGCAGAUAUCAGGAGGAACACCGGUGGCGAAGGCGGGUCUCUGGGCAGUAACUGACGCUGGAGGAGCGAAAGCGUGGGGAGCGAACAGG